CUGCUAAUGACGAGAAAAUCAUCCUUGCUCUGCGAGCUGCAUUGGAAUUCGAUGGGGGCUAUGUACCAUCGGGGUGCUAGUGUCACAUCGUAGAUAACGAUGCAGCGGUGAACAGCGUUGGCCUCUGAAGCAG
RNAcentral lists this small nucleolar RNA (133 nucleotides) under Oesophagostomum dentatum (nodular worm). Its description in RNAcentral is "Nematode snoRNA ceN47". It matches the Rfam family "Nematode snoRNA ceN47". The record is from Rfam by way of RNAcentral. Lineage: Eukaryota; Metazoa; Nematoda; Chromadorea; Rhabditida; Strongylidae.